This 565-nucleotide non-coding RNA is filed under the name Pan troglodytes (chimpanzee). The record is from RNAcentral. Lineage: Eukaryota; Metazoa; Chordata; Mammalia; Primates; Hominidae.
ACAAAACCCGGAAGGACCCCGCCGAAGGUUUUCUCCGGUUCGUGAGAGGGACGGAGUCCCGCUCUGUCACGCAGGCUGCCAGGCUGGCGUACAGUGGCGCAAUCUCAGCUCACUGCAACCUCCACCUCCUGGGUUCAAGCGAUUUUCUUGCCUCUGCCUCCUGAGUAGCUGGGAUUACUGGCACACACCACCAAUGCACAGUUCCUUGUUCAAAAUGCCAAGAACCUGGAUGACUCAUAGUCAAGACCCUCCACCAGUAACAUAUAUUGGCGAGCCAGCCAGGAGCUUGGAACCCUCGGUGGACAGUGCCUAAGCACAGAGGCAAACACAGGUUUCUAACAGGGCCACUCUCCGGUGAAACUGAAAGGUUUCUGUGUGAAAGUGCCUGACCACCACUGCCCAGUUCAGUUGCAGGAAUUUAGCCAAUUCAGAGAUCUUGUUCUCCAUAAUUUGGAAUUUUCCUUCGGAUUUGAUCAAGUUGGAUAGAGUUGGUCAAACCCAAUGGGAAAAAGAUGAAAACAACAAGAAACAGAAACAAACAACAACAGCAACAACAACAAAAACA